UUGAACGCUGGCGGCAUGCCUUACACAUGCAAGUCGAACGGUAACGCGGGGCAACCUGGCGACGAGUGGCGAACGGGUGAGUAAUACAUCGGAACGUGCCCAGUAGUGGGGGAUAGCCCGGCGAAAGCCGGAUUAAUACCGCAUACGACCUAAGGGUGAAAGCAGGGGACCGCAAGGCCUUGCGCUAUUGGAGCGGCCGAUGUCAGAUUAGCUAGUUGGUGGGGUAAAAGCCUACCAAGGCGACGAUCUGUAGCUGGUCUGAGAGGACGACCAGCCACACUGGGACUGAGACACGGCCCAGACUCCUACGGGAGGCAGCAGUGGGGAAUUUUGGACAAUGGGCGCAAGCCUGAUCCAGCCAUGCCGCGUGCGGGAAGAAGGCCUUCGGGUUGUAAACCGCUUUUGUCAGGGAAGAAACGGUCUGGGCUAAUACCCUGGGCUAAUGACGGUACCUGAAGAAUAAGCACCGGCUAACUACGU
This 480-nucleotide ribosomal RNA is filed under the name uncultured bacterium. RNAcentral describes it as "bacterial SSU rRNA". It matches the Rfam family "Bacterial small subunit ribosomal RNA", at positions 29 to 506 of the family's 1533-position model. The record is from RNAcentral.